AGUCUGAAGAAACAAAUAAAAUGGUGAUUAAGCGGGAACUUAAGUCUAAAAAAUAACAAACAAGCAGAGAUCAGUUGAAAUACAGUACGGCUGAUUGAAGAUAAACAUUUGGAAAGGGAGUUCGUGUUAGUGCUUUUCAGUCAUAAGCUGUGAAUUUUAAACAGAUCACACACUUACACGUAUAAAGAGCUUAAAACAUGAAUAAAAGAAGAGACUCUCAGCUCGUGAUCAGAGGAUGUUAUGGCUCUUUUCACGUCUUUGCUUCUCCAAAAGUGGAAGUGGGUUUAAACCAUUCAAAUGUGUGGAUGUCACUAAGUGGGAAUAGUAACAACGAUGUGCACUCAAAUCUGAUAAAUUGACUCUUGAACAAUAAAAAUUUAAAAAUUAUCCCAACCGUUGAAUCGGGGUUAAUGAGCAUGUAGAGAUUCAGUUUUAGGUAAAUAUGCUCUUUGUGUACAUUCUCAGUACAGACAGGAAACUGGACUGGUGUUUAACUUGGCCGAUUAAGGUGCUGCUGGACUACCAGAGCACUCAAAGAACCAGCCAGCCUGUCAUAAAUCCCCGCUCUCCAACAUGCUCUAAAGCCUUGUUGGGUUUUAGUGUAGAAAACUGUUGCUUAACUCUGAAGCUGUUAAAGUGUGAAGGCAAAGUCCACCAUAAGACGCUGGAUCACAGGAGAGAGGACAGAAAGGAGGCCUGUGGACAGCCGUCUCCUCAGGGCCGUUAUGACAAAGCCUGCCCCCGAGAGCACACGCUCAGCUUUGGUCAGUGCAGUUGUGGCCCGUGAUGCAGGGUCCCAUGGGCCUGGCGGUGAAAUCGUAAUAUGGACCAUCUGACACCUGUCAAAACAGCCCUGUUAGCUGAGCGUCAAGCCUUGUCAGCUAGCAGAGGAAAGUGCUAUGCAGGUUCUCAAUUUCUCUCCCCUUUCCUUUAAAUCUCUCCACUCUCCCUCUGUGUCUCCCAGACUUUCACUCCUGAGACCUCCCCUAAUUCAUCCCUCUCAAAAGAUGAUUUAAAAGGAUUUGUGAUUUUAAACUACACUUCUUCUCACACUUUUGUUUUUAUUUUCAUGUAUUUUCUGUUGGUCUUUACAUCUGUUUCUUUUCAUAUCUUCUCCAUCGUUGCAAAUCUAAUCAGCCACCUAAAACCAGGUAAGAAUGUGAACCAAUGAGAAGAAAGUGAUUUCAUUUGAGUUAUUUUUCCCCACAUACCUUGAUACUCGUGGUGUUGCACCAAACCGUGCAAACACCAGAUCUGUUCUGCUUUCCAAUGCACAAAAACAAUCUGCCAAUACUGUCUCUAGAAUGCUGCAACAAAAUCAGACUGGAUUCAGUUCUGAGUAACGGCAUUAGCUUUCAUACGUGAGGAAAUAAAUUAAUCUAAGUUUGACUCUAAAUCGAACCUUGCCUUAGCGUGUCUCUUAUUUCUUCUCUGUUCUGAGUACAAAAGGUUUGCUGCACUGCCAAUCCGCCUGCUUCCUUCAUCUCCCAGCCCACAUGCUUGUUUCCUCUGCAGCUCCUUUGCUGAUGGGCCAACAGAUCCGGAGAUGUAAAAGUGGAGGAGGAGAUGGAAGAGAAUGCUUUGCACAAGAACCGGGAAACAUGUCCUGUCACGGUUUGUGUCAAUGCAGCUCAAUUGAAUUACUUUCAAGCCAAUCUGUCACACAGGAUUGCAACUGCCUUCCAAGUGUAGAGCAUGUUCUGUAAGCCAGAGGAUCUAUUUUGUGAGGUCUGCUCUUCUCAUGCAAUCACUUUUGGGUGAAGAAAAUGAAAAUGUUUUGAAACCAUUACCAAUGGUUUGUGGUGUUUUUUAUGUGGAAAUCCAAAUGACACAUUUUAAGAAUAUAGAAGUAAUCAAACUUGUGUUUUCAAUUAGCAAAAACCGAUAAGCCAUUUUUAAAGUAAACCCACCAAAUUUUAUUUAGACUGGUAUCAGUUCAAGGAAAUAAUGAAGAAAUUAACUUUAUUUAAAAAAAAUCUGAUUUAGCAAAUUAACUAUUCAGUUGUGAAAUUUGGACAUUCCAGCCGUUGGAAUUUUCUUUUUAACCCUUUAACGUCCUCACCAAGAAAAAAGCAAUUAAAGAUUCCACUUUUUGCAUUUUUGAUUUGGCACAAUAAGGGGUUUAGUUUGUGUAUUCUUACAGGUAAAAUAAUGAUUUUCAUUGCAAGGAAAGAAGUGAGGAAAUAAAAAGGGAGAUAAUCCCAUACCAGUAGAUUCCAUUUGAUCAGAGGAAAUGAUCUCGGAAAACAAAAAGUAAAUGAAAGAGAAGGUCUCCCUUUCAUUUUCCAUGUCUUAUGAAAUAACACACCCCUAGAUAAUCACCUGUAUCCUGCCUAAAGCAAGAAUUCGGUCUAGUUCACUAGGCUAGGUGACCCGCACACACAUUCAGAGUUGAAACUUAGUUGUGUUCCCAGACAAAAACUCAGCCACCUCAAAUUUUCCCAACAAGAACAGAAGCAGACUCUAAAUUGAAUGAGUAAAACAACCCCUUAAAUGAGAUUUGUAGAUAGAACGAGACAUUCCGUUCAUGACACUACGUAGCUAGGUUUUCUUCCUGAGAGACACAUUUAUGCAGAGGGUGUUACACACAAUGGGGUGAGAGGGAUUCAGAGGAGUAGUUUGAUAGAUGAGUUAUGAUUUAAUCCUUUAAAAGGGCGGCCAGAAUUUGACUGGUUGAGGAUUUUCCAGGUUUGUACAUUUCAGAUGUGAUUAAAACUUUUAAUAAAAAAAAAAACAUUUCAUUUAUUAGUUGCCAUCAGUAUAUGAAGAGCAUUUCAAGCAUUCUGAAAAAAAACAAACUCAGAUGGUACCUUUAAAACUGCACUCAUGGAGGCGUAGAAAAAAUAAUAAUAGUAAAACACAAGCACACAGACACCCCACCCCCCACGUAGCAUCCAGCAACGAGAGUUAAUCUAAACCAUAUUAUUCUGGACAUGUGAAAAUAAUAUUGACAAGAUCUCCUUUGACCCAGCUGACUUUGAGCAAAAAUCUGCACCUUAUUGGAUUUCUCUGAGGCAUUGAUUAUGACCCGCGAAGCAUGUGGUGGAGGUUUUCUGUUUAUGAUUCAAGCACUGCCCAAAGCAAAAGCUGGUAAUGCUGAUGGGUUUACGUAGCCGUGCCUUUUCUGUUUUCGUUGGCUCUGUAAUCAGUCAUUGCAACACUGCUGCGCUUUUGAGCGAGGGAUGGUUUGUGCGCCUGACAUGUGCAGUCAAUUAUUUGAUAAAAAGAUCUAGUAAUGUGUUUGUUACAGGAAGAACACUUGUGCUCAGUGUGGGAGAUUUUGCAACAACUCUGCAGUGCAUUGCUCCAUUCUUCCAUGUUUUCUUUCUGAUAAAAAAAAAGUCAUCCAAGGGUAGCAAAUUCCCCUCAUUAAAUGAAUCAGAAUGAGUUUAGCCUGUUUACAAGUACAAAGGGAAAGUGGGAAACACUUUGAAUUGAAUUAAUUGUCUGCACCACCCUCAUGAACUGGCAGGACUUUGGAUGGAAGUGGGAUGAGAGUUCUGGCAACUGCUGCUGACAAAAUUUAUAGAGGAGAUAAACAUAAAUGACUUCCUGCUCAAGUGUGAGGGAAUUAUAAGAAUGAGCCCCAAUCAAAGUUAAUGAUGUUGUAUUAGAGGGCUUUUAUUGAGAGAGAGGGAGACAACAGCGAUGACUUCUUGCAUCCAGAGAAGAGAUGGUAAACAAGUGCUGGUAGUUGGUAAAAUUUAUUGGCUUGCAGGAAAAUGAUGAUCAGCGUGGGCGUGACUUUGGCGUUGUUCUUCAUGCACCACGAAGGGGACAAACGUUAUUUUUCACCGGGCUGCAACAAAGGUAAUUAUCUUGAGAGCCUCAUUCAUAUUCAGCCUAAACCAUUGCAUCUCAUAAUAAAAUGAAGGGACCAUCUCAGAAGAUUGAUCUACAUUUUAAAUGUACUAUGCAGAUGUAGAAGGGUUGAUAAAAGUGUUUUAUUUUUUGCAAUUUUACUAUUUGACCACAAAUGACAUUGGUUUAGAAUAUUUUUUUGCUUGUUCUUGUAAGUUAUGCAACCGCAAGUGUUCCCUAUGUGGAAAUAUAAUGUGUGUGGAUAUAAAAACUAACUAAAGGUUAAUUGUGACAUCCGUUUUGGUAAUUAUGGUGAAGAAAAUUGGUGGAGCGAGUUAUGUGGAAACAGUUUGGACUGAAAUAUUGUGCUUAAUGUUUGGUAUGGCUGGGAAGACAAGCAGUUCCAUUUUAGAGAGACUAAGUUAGAAGCGGGGUGCUUUCAUCCAUCUCUAUUUGUCCCUGAGUCUUAUUUAAAGUCCCCAAACAUGCUCUGUUCCUGUUCUUUAACCCUCCCACUGCCUUUAUGGGUGACCCUGCGAGGAAAGUUGACCAUUGAACAGUAUUGAUGGUUUAUCCCUUGAGGUCCACGUGGCAGGGGUGAGGUGGUGCUCACUCCUCACCCCUGCCACAUGGACCCAAGGGAUAAACCAUCAAACCUGCUCAAUGGUCAACUUUCCUCGCGGGGUCCUAUCCAUUAGGACAGUGGGUGGGUUAAAGACCAGGUUUACUGAGAAACAUUUUUUUUACUUAACAUUUUUGAAAAUGAUCAGUCACUCUGAGUUUAACAUGCAGGCUGAACGUGAAAAUAGAUCUCCUACCCCUUUUUUCUGCAUUAUCUUUAAUAGAAAAUUAAUGGAAAAGCGCUCAGUUCAGAAAAGCCUGACAGAUCUAGGUCACACCAAUCUGGACUCACGAUGGAGAAGGAUGUUGUUGGUUUAGCAUCCAGAAAACAACAGAGAAUGUCUUGACUAGUAAAGCUAACCAUUAGCAUUAUCAACUCCACCACACAGACCUCCUUCAGGUUUGUGUCAUUUGUGGCAACCAAACAUCAACAUUGCAAAGCCACCGGAAUCAGUGGAUAACAUGUUGCUGUUAUCCAAUUAGAGGCAAGAUGUCCUACUUAAGAUAUUAGUUAUUAGGAAAAAAAACCUAAUCCUGCCACCUGAAGUUGCUUUCUCCUUCAGCUGACUGCAUCCUCAAACAGGUGCACCAGAGCUUUUCCCCAGACAGUUACAAGGCACUCAUUCCCACUAGAAACCACUGCAAAUGUAUUACAAAUACGAAUAAAACUGAAUUUUAAAACAAGUUCCCCAAAGAUGAUUCUACAAUUCUCUGCAAUAGGCAGAUAAUAGAACAGAUUAAAAUCCUUAACAAUUUAAUAUCAUAGUAAUGUCCACCCCUACUCACAUGUACUCGCAUAUAUGUGACUAAUUAUAUGGAUAAUAUGUAGGAAAUUUAUGCAUUUUUAUUUAGAGAGUUUGAUUGCAAAUCUGACUUUUUCAGAUGAACUAUGAUGAAAUGGUCAAACUGUGCUGUUAUGCUUUGAAAGCUAACCAGCUGAGUGUGUUGAUUUCACUUUCUUUUGUUUGCACAUCUCUGGAGCAACUGGGGUGGCCCAGUGGAUUGGUUACCCUCUUCUGUGCUAAUCAGGGGCCUGAUGGGGGCAAGCAGGAGGUCUGAGGAUGGGGAAGAGUCGUACAGUUGAUUUUGGAUGGAGCUGUACAUUUCUGAGAGACAAUGGAGUUUACUCAUUGGAUUGUGCAUGGGACUGCAUCAUCGGAGAGGGGAGAGCGGGCAGCAGAGGGCGACAACGUCCUCUGCUGCCCGCGGAUAAACAGUCGGAGUAGGAAGUGACGCCACCAUCAGUGUCAGCUCUGAAGAUGUUUGCAGCCGCAAACGAAACCGUCAGCAAGGCGGUCUGUGAGAGGACGUGAAUUCUGCUCAGAUCUGGGGAUAGCUCUUUGUUUGUGCUGAUUCAUAAUUGUGCACAAGAGAUCCUGAGAACAGCAAUAAAUAACUUGUGUGAAAAAAAUGGCUCCUGAGUUUGUCCAAAUGCAAAUGGAGACACUGACAGGGUCAAGAAAAAAAAAAAAAAUAGGGAACUCAAAACUAAUAACAGCCAAUAACAAGGGGUGGAAAUCAGGACAACAGAAGGACGAUCUGACCAGGAGAUUGAAUUCCAGUGUAACAUCCAGACAGGGUCAGUUUUGACCUAUACAUUGACCACAUAGCGACCGGUCACCUACAGACAUAAUUCCACUAUCUGAGUGGAGCUGCUACUCCAUCUUCUAACUCCCAGAAGAUUCUGCUGUGCUUGUUGACAGUCCAUGAGGACAAGAUUGUCAAACUUAUCUCAGAAUGCAGGAUUCCACACUCAGAAUGAAAAAUGAACUUUUACAUCUCAUAAGUUAAAUAAUCAUAAAUAAUCAUAUGGUUGAAUGAACCAGAUGUUAAAUGAAUAAAUGAUGAUAAUGUUUGAAUAAUCUGUGCCUAAUUCAGUGAAGUUGAAAUGAAUAUUAUUGCUUACAAUGAAACAUUUAUAUGUUAUGAUCAGUAAUGUAUAAUAUAACAAGUUAAUCAUUGUAUACACUCAUACACAAUGUUCCUAUGAUGAAAAUUACAGUUAAGGUCACAUAUCACAUAGGUUUAAAGAUUCUUUAUCCACAGAACAAGAACAUCUUGUAUCUGGAAGGUGUGGUUUCUGAGGGAUGUUUGGUAACGCCGAUAAACAUUUGCAGAAAUGAUAAACUCUAGAUCAUUAGAACUAGAGUGACUGCCGAGUUACUCAGUUUCCAGCUGACACUCCGAAGUGGCCAAUUCGGAACCAGCCUCUUUUGAAAAAUCUCUUUGACACACAGCCAAACCUGUUUGCACGCAGUAAGCCGCACGACUCCUUAAGAGUCCAUCCGUCUUAGGCGAAACAACCUUCAUGCCUGUUGUGAUUUGGGAGACGACUCUGGACUGACCUGGUCACAUUGGGGUUAAUCUACGAACUUCAAUGCCUUUGGGUUACCAGACCCUCCUGACAUCUCUGAUCCAAAAGAGAGUCUCCAUCAGGGUACGUAGACACAACAACAUUGCGUCUGAUGCUGUUCCAUAAAUCAUCAACUCUCUAGUUUAUAGCAGACAACAAAUUCUUUUACACCCAGAACUCACGGUUUCUUCCAGAUACAAAGGUUCUGAUAUACAUCUACUUUACACCAUCUUCACACAUCAC
This is a non-coding RNA of Nothobranchius furzeri (turquoise killifish), 7018 nucleotides long. The record is from RefSeq and is a predicted model, not a curated record. Lineage: Eukaryota; Metazoa; Chordata; Actinopteri; Cyprinodontiformes; Nothobranchiidae.